UAUUUUGAUAGUUUAUAUAAAAUAUUGGUUUGUGGGGCCAAAGAUGUUAAUCAACUCAAGAUAAUUU
Molecule: transfer RNA, 67 nt
Filed under: Baetis sp. PC-2010
Lineage: Eukaryota; Metazoa; Arthropoda; Insecta; Ephemeroptera; Baetidae
Description: tRNA-His
Source: RNAcentral